UCCAUUAUUUUCCUGAAUAUUCUCUGCAAUAUCUGCAAUAUCUGUAAUAUUCGUUGAGUGAAUUUUUGCUACUAUCACAUCGCCACAGACUUGUUCACAAUUGUUAUUGCAAUUGUUAUUGUUCUGUGGAGCAACUGGGACGAUGUAAGGAAAGUAUACAUAGGCAGUGUUAUCAGGAUGAUAAGGGUAAGAUUCGUUCGCGACACCAGGAUAUGGAAGAGGGUAGUAACCCCACCAACCACUGUCAGGGGUCCAAAAUGGAGGAGGACAGGGAGAGAGGAAGACACCCUGCUGAUUGCCCGGCACGUUAUUCUCUGUUUGGCAGUGGUAAUCUGCUUGACGAUUUUCUUGCGUGGCUACAACAAACAGCACAAUGCAUUCAGACAAGAAGUUCAACUGUUCCUAUUGGGGUGUGAUGUGGUCUUGCGUUUCUCCCUUUUCUAUUUUUGCUUCUCUGCUUUUAUCCCCUUCUUUUCACCCGCACACUUCCCUUUCUCUUAUAUUACACGCGAUAUUCUUUCUUUUUCAUAUUAGGCGAUGGAAGAACGAGUGAUAGACAUUCAUUUCAUGUUCUGUUUAAGCUUGAGGCUCAUUUCAAAUUCACAAUCUCGUUAUUAUAGAUAUCAUGGAAUAUUGUUAAUUCUGAUAAGGAAUGACUUGGUGGCUGAAAAAACCUUACCAACUAAAGGCUACAGGAAAAUUCCAAAAGAUAAAAGAUUAGAUAAGAAAUACAGUUCUUUGAAUACACAACAUGUUUGGUGAACUAAUUAUCAAAGAAGCAGUGUCUUGCGCGCAGCAAAAAUGUUCCACACUAUUAUGUUGAAAUAUUGACUUGGCAACUAAGUGGUUGCGGACUUUGCCGAUAGCGUCUAAUGACAAAAUCCGCAAUCACUUAGUUGCCAAGCCAAUAUUACAGAAAACGAAAUAAAUGUCUACCAUGAACGAUCCUCCGUUGGCUGUGAAAAAUCGACGGACAAGCGAGAUGCCACGAGGAUAAGCAACGAGUGUAAUCGCGGACGGCUACGAAAGAAUGAGAGAGAGAGAGAAAGAGAGAGAGAGAGAAAAAAAAACGAGACGUGUGAUCCUGUGUUCAAAGGAAACGAUCGAAAAUUGUGAACGCAAAACCAGCUCGUCGAUGAUCUUCGACGGGACACAAGCGAUCAUUACGUUCGAGUAGGAAGAACAUGCUCGUACGAUAUUCUGGACAGAUGGAUCAAGGAUGACAGAUUUUUUACGCUUGUUGGUCUCGACGAUAAAUGUUCGCCGAUCGACACUCACCGACGCUCUCCGGCGCUGUCAUCGCUUGUAAUAUCCUGAACGAUCUGGAGGGAAUCGCGCUGCCCAUGUAUUUCUUUGGCUCUGGAACCUGUUGCUCGCUUGGUGGAUUAAUGAGAAGCUAAUCUUGCUUCGAUGUAAUGGAGAGCUAAUCAGAGAAAAAUGACUAACAAGUUUACUUACCAAACGUCUUUGAAUUCCUGUUCUGCUUCUUGUUUAUGGCGGAUGGUGGUCGUGACGCUGCAACCAGGAGCAUCACCGGACUCCGUCAUAGUCUGUAGGAAGCGGAAAGCUCGAGAGGGUAUAGCACCACCACGAUAUCUCGGAUCUUCCUCGUGAUGAAGAGAAGAUUCAUUGUCGACUAUAGAAAGAAGAACACGUAAAUCCUAUCGUCCUCUGACAAUUGAAGUUUACGCAUCUGUUCAGUGUCCACGUCGUUCGUUGAAUCCGUGUCUGUGAUCUUCUGAAGAACUCUGAACGAUCGAGAUUGAACUGGACCAGAAUCCGAUUGCUGAACUUGCACAGCAUUAGACGCGUUAUUCCUAAGAAUCGGUUGCGAGUACGAGGUAUUCGAAGUAGCUACACCAGCAGGCUUCUUAUCACUUCCCUCGAUCAUAAUUGGUAUAAUGUACGCGCCACCUGUCGAUUGUUGAGGCACCUGAUUCUGGAUCUG
This is a long non-coding RNA of Bombus huntii, 1948 nucleotides long. RefSeq lists it as uncharacterized. Lineage: Eukaryota; Metazoa; Arthropoda; Insecta; Hymenoptera; Apidae. The transcript has 8 exons. The record is from RefSeq and is a predicted model, not a curated record.